GAUGAACGCUGGCGGCGUGCUUAACACAUGCAAGUCGAACGGAGUUUAUAAGCGGAAGUCUUCGGAUGGAAGCUUAUGAACUUAGUGGCGGACGGGUGAGUAACGCGUGGGUAACCUGCCUUACACAGGGGGAUAACAGCCGGAAACGGCUGCUAAUACCGCAUAAGCGCACAGUGCUGCAUGGUACCGUGUGAAAAGAUUUUAUCGGUGUAAGAUGGACCCGCGUCUGAUUAGCUAGUUGGUGGGGUAACGGCCUACCAAGGCAACGAUCAGUAGCCGGCUUGAGAGAGUGAACGGCCACAUUGGGACUGAGACACGGCCCAAACUCCUACGGGAGGCAGCAGUGGGGAAUAUUGCACAAUGGGGGAAACCCUGAUGCAGCGACGCCGCGUGAGUGAAGAAGUAUUUCGGUAUGUAAAGCUCUAUCAGCAGGGACGAAGUGGAGUUCGUGAGAACUCCUUUGACGGUACCUGACUAAGAAGCCCCGGCUAACUACGUG
RNAcentral lists this ribosomal RNA (499 nucleotides) under uncultured organism. RNAcentral describes it as "bacterial SSU rRNA". It matches the Rfam family "Bacterial small subunit ribosomal RNA", at positions 28 to 507 of the family's 1533-position model. The record is from RNAcentral.